This is a small nuclear RNA of Gorilla gorilla gorilla (western lowland gorilla), 99 nucleotides long. Lineage: Eukaryota; Metazoa; Chordata; Mammalia; Primates; Hominidae. The record is from Ensembl.
GUGCUUGCUAUGGCAGCACAUAUACUAAAAUUGGAACCAUACAGAGAAGAUUAGCAUGGCCCCUGCAAAAAGAAAAAAAAAAAAAAAACACCGGUUAUU